RNAcentral lists this ribosomal RNA (1467 nucleotides) under uncultured bacterium. RNAcentral's name for it is "bacterial SSU rRNA". It matches the Rfam family "Bacterial small subunit ribosomal RNA". The record is from RNAcentral.
AGAGUUUGAUCCUGGCUCAGAUUGAACGCUGGCGGUAUGCUUAACACAUGCAAGUCGAACGGAAACGAUACUAGCUUGCUAGUAGGCGUCGAGUGGCGGACGGGUGAGUAACGCGUAGGAAUCUGCCUGAUAGUGGGGGAUAGCCCGAAGAAAUUCGGAUUAAUACCGCAUAAUCUAUUCGUAGUAAAGUGGGGGACUUUUAAGCCUCACGCUAUCAGAUGAGCCUGCGUAAGAUUAGCUAGUUGGUAGGGUAAAAGCCUACCAAGGCAACGAUCUUUAGCUGGUCUGAGAGGAUGAUCAGCCACAUCGGGACUGAGACACGGCCCGAACUCCUACGGGAGGCAGCAGUGGGGAAUAUUGGACAAUGGGGGCAACCCUGAUCCAGCAAUACCGCGUGUGUGAAGAAGGCCUGAGGGUUGUAAAGCACUUUCAAUUGUGAAGAAAAGUUAACGGUUAAUAACCGUUAGCCUUGACGUUAACUUUAGAAGAAGCACCGGCUAACUCCGUGCCAGCAGCCGCGGUAAUACGGAGGGUGCAAGCGUUAAUCGGAAUUACUGGGCGUAAAGCGUGCGUAGGCGGUUUAUUAAGUCAGAUGUGAAAGCCCCGGGCUUAACCUGGGAACUGCAUUUGAAACUGGUCAACUAGAGUAUGGUAGAGGAAAGUGGAAUUUCUGGUGUAGCGGUGAAAUGCGUAGAUAUCAGAAGGAACAUCAAUGGCGAAGGCAGCUUUCUGGACCAAUACUGACGCUGAGGUACGAAAGCGUGGGUAGCAAACAGGAUUAGAUACCCUGGUAGUCCACGCCGUAAACGAUGAUAACUAGCCGUUGGGGGGAUUUACCCUUUAGUGGCGAAGCUAACGCGUUAAGUUAUCCGCCUGGGGAGUACGGCCGCAAGGUUAAAACUCAAAGGAAUUGACGGGGACCCGCACAAGCGGUGGAGCAUGUGGUUUAAUUCGAUGCAACGCGAAGAACCUUACCUGGUCUUGACAUCCUGCGAACUUUCUAGAAAUAGAUUGGUGCCUUCGGGAACGCAGUGACAGGUGCUGCAUGGCUGUCGUCAGCUCGUGUCGUGAGAUGUUGGGUUAAGUCCCGUAACGAGCGCAACCCCUAUCCUUAUUUGCCAGCACGUCAUGGUGGGAACUAUAAGGAGACUGCCGGUGAUAAACCGGAGGAAGGCGGGGACGACGUCAAGUCAUCAUGGCCCUUACGACCAGGGCUACACACGUGCUACAAUGGGAAGGACAAAGAGCCGCGAAGCCGCGAGGUGUAGCUAAUCUCAGAAACCUUUUCGUAGUCCGGAUUGGAGUCUGCAACUCGACUCCAUGAAGUCGGAAUCGCUAGUAAUCGUAGAUCAGAAUGCUACGGUGAAUACGUUCCCGGGUCUUGUACACACCGCCCGUCAUACCAUGGGAGUGGGUUGCACCAGAAGUGGCUAGUCUAACUUAGUGAGGACGGUCACCACGGUGUGA